UACGGAGGAUGCGAGCGUUAUCCGGAUUUAUUGGGUUUAAAGGGUGCGUAGGCGGGCUGUUAAGUCAGCGGUCAAAUGUCGGGGCUCAACCCCGGCCUGCCGUUGAAACUGGUGGCCUCGAGUGGGCGAGAAGUAUGCGGAAUGCGUGGUGUAGCGGUGAAAUGCAUAGAUAUCACGCAGAAUUCCGAUUGCGAAGGCAGCAUACCGGCGCCCGACUGACGCUGGGGCACGAAAGCGUGGGUAUCGAACAGG
RNAcentral lists this ribosomal RNA (252 nucleotides) under uncultured bacterium. Its description in RNAcentral is "partial 16S ribosomal RNA". It matches the Rfam family "Bacterial small subunit ribosomal RNA", at positions 524 to 776 of the family's 1533-position model. The record is from RNAcentral.